AAGAAACUGAAAGCUGGAGAACCGCUGGGCAGAGAUGUAGAGGAUGUCUCUAGUGGUCUCCAAGUCAGCACUAGCCAGAGAUGACGGCUAUGGACGUCAGAUUGUCUCCAAGAGAAGUGAAUCUUCCUCCUGGAUUUUCUGGAAACUGGUCUGUAACAGAACCUUGCAGCCUCCACUUACACCUUUUAGGAAUGCUAUGCUGAGAUCAUCUUGUGAGGAAGCUGGUCUAGCCUACUGGAGGAUGAGCAAAGUUGCAUAGAAGAUCCCGGCAUCCAGACGGAUGGCACCAACUCCAGAUGCAUCCACUUUCUAUCCUUCUCCACUCUGCUCUCUGUCCAGGAAGGCUGAUCUCUAUGGACUACCUCAGUAGAUCCCAUUCAGAUGUCACACCAUCCCUGCAUCUCUGGAAUGAAUCCCACCUGAUCAUGAU
RNAcentral lists this long non-coding RNA (430 nucleotides) under Equus asinus (donkey). Its description in RNAcentral is "lncRNA (ENSEASG00005029069.1)". Lineage: Eukaryota; Metazoa; Chordata; Mammalia; Perissodactyla; Equidae. The record is from RNAcentral.